This 497-nucleotide ribosomal RNA is filed under the name uncultured bacterium. Its description in RNAcentral is "partial 16S ribosomal RNA". It matches the Rfam family "Bacterial small subunit ribosomal RNA", at positions 28 to 507 of the family's 1533-position model. The record is from RNAcentral.
GAUGGACGCUGUCGGCAUGCCUAAUUCAUGCACGUCUAGCGACCAUACUAGGACCUUGCUCUUCUCUCGUAGGCUGCGGCCGGGUCAGUACCGCGUGACUAACCUACGUGUAAGACUGGGAUAACUUCCGCCAACGGGAGCUAAUACCGCAUAAUAUUUUGAACCGCUGGAUCAAAUAGUGAUAGACGCUUUUGCGGUCACGUAUCGAUGGACCCGCGCCGCAUUAGCUAGUUGGUAAGGUAACGGCUUACCAAGGCAACGAUGCGUAGCCGUCCUAAGAGGGGGAUCGGCCACCCGGGAACGGGCACAAGGCCCGGACCACUACGGGAGUCAGCAGUAGGGAAUUUUCAGCAAUGGGCGCAGACCUGACGCAGCAACGCCCAGUGAGUGAUUAAGGUCUUCGGAUCGUAAAACUCUGUUAUCAGUGAAGAACAUAUGUGUACGUAAAUAUCCACGUCCUGACGGCACCUAAUCAGAAAGCCGCGGCUACCUUCGUG